UUAGAGUUUGAUCCUGGCUCAGGAUGAACGCUAGCGGCAGGCUUAACACAUGCAAGUCGAGGGGCAGCAUGUCCAGCAAUGGAUGAUGGCGACCGGCGGAAGGGUGCGUAACGCGUGAGCAACAUGCCCUAUACAGGGAGAUACACCAGGGAAACUUGGUCUAAUAUCCCAUAGCAUUCAUUGAAGGCAUCUUUAAUGAAUUAAAGCUUCGGUGGUAUAGGAUUGGCUCGCGUGACAUUAGCCAGAUGGUGAGGUAACGGCUCACCAUAGCAAUGAUGUCUAGGGGUUUUGAGAGGAAGGCCCCCCACACUGGGACUGAGACACGGCCCAGACUCCUACGGGAGGCAGCAGUGAGGAAUAUUGGACAAUGGAUGGAAAUCUGAUCCAGCCAUGCCGCGUGCAGGAAGACGGCCUUAUGGGUUGUAAACUGCUUUUAUACGGGAGCAAUAAGGGUUACGAGUAAUCCGAUGAGAGUACUGUAUGAAUAAGGAUCGGCUAACUCCGUGCCAGCAGCCGCGGUAAUACGGAGGAUCCGAGCGUUAUCCGGAUUUAUUGGGUUUAAAGGGUGCGUAGGCGGAAAUGUAAGUCAGUGGUGAAGUCCUGCAGCUUAACUGUAACAGUGCCGUUGAUACUGUUUGGCUAGGAUUUGGUUGUAGUGUGCGGAAUGUGUGGUGUAGCGGUGAAAUGCUUAGAUAUCACACAGAACACCGAUUGCGGAGGCAGCACACUAAGUCAUUAUUGACGCUGAGGCACGAAAGUGUGGGGAGCAAACAGGAUUAGAUACCCUGGUAGUCCACGCCGUAAACGAUGAAUGCUAGGUGUAGGGGGUGAAUAUACCCCUGUGCCGGAGUUAACACAAUAAGCAUUCCACCUGGGGAGUACGGCCGCAAGGUUGAAACUCAAAGGAAUUGACGGGAGCCCGCACAAGCGGAGGAACAUGUGGUUUAAUUCGAUGAUACGCGAGGAACCUUACCCGGGUUUGAAUUGCUGAAUUUGCAUUUGGAGACAUUUGCUUCCCUUUUGGGUUUCAGUGAAGGUGCUGCAUGGUUGUCGUCAGCUCGUGCCGUGAGGUGUCGGCUUAGGUGCCAUAACGAGCGCAACCCUUGUCAUUAGUUGCCAUCAGGUCAAGCUGGGGACUUUAAUGAGACUGCCACCGUAAGGUGUGAGGAAGGGGGGGAGGACGUCAAAUCAGCACGGCCCUUAUGUCCGGGGGGACACACGUGUUACAAUGGGAGGUACAGAGGGCAGCUAUCCGGUGACGGAAUGCUAAUCUCCAAAACCUUUCUCAGUUCGGAUUGGAGUCUGCAACUCGACUCCAUGAAGGGGGAUUCGCUAGUAAUCGCGCAUCAGCCAUGGCGCGGGGAAUACGUUCCCGGGCCUUGCACACACCGCCCGUCA
This 1398-nucleotide ribosomal RNA is filed under the name uncultured bacterium. RNAcentral describes it as "16S ribosomal RNA". It matches the Rfam family "Bacterial small subunit ribosomal RNA". The record is from RNAcentral.